RNAcentral lists this non-coding RNA (759 nucleotides) under Agrilinae sp. 1 ACP-2013. Lineage: Eukaryota; Metazoa; Arthropoda; Insecta; Coleoptera; Buprestidae. The record is from RNAcentral.
AAAAGUUUAAUUUUAGCUUAGUUAUUUGCUUAAUCUUUAUUUUUUAUGUGAGUUUUUGCUUUAUGGUUUUAGAUAGGAAUUUAUUUAUUAGCAGUGAUUAGUUUUAGUGAAUUUAGUAACCUAAGAUUUAGGAAUAGAUUUAUGUUCUAACUUAACUUGUGCCAGCAGUUGCGGUUAUACAAGUAGGACUUGUAAAUAUUUUUGGUUAGUAGUUAAAAUUUAAUUUAUUUAAAGUGAAUUAUUAUUAUUAUUAGGUGAAAUUUUUAUAUUAAUUUUUUCUUUAUAUUUUAAGCUAUUAAACUUGGUUUUAGACUAGGAUUAGAUACCCUAUUAUUGUUUAGUGUAAAUUGUAAUACCAGGUUAGUGUUAGUUAUGUUCUUUAAAACAAAAGGAUUUGGCGGUAUUUUAGUCUUUUCAGAGGAACCUGCCCUGUAAUUGAUAGUCCACGAUUAGUUUUACUUGUAUUUGGCUUGUAUAUCGUCGUGGUUGAUUUUUUUAGAAAAAAUUUAAUAGUCAAAAUUCUUUAUUAGGAAGGAAGUCAGAUCAAGAUGCAGCGUAUAUAAGUAGAGGUGGGUUACAUUAAAUUUAUUUAAAUGGUUGAGAUUUUUUAAAGGUCUUAUAAAGUGGAUUUGAAAGUAAAUUUUUACUUUUUUGGAAGUUGAGUUAGCUCUAAAAUAUGUACAUAUCGCCCGUCACUUCCAUAAAAAUGGAAUAAGUCGUAACAAAGUAGAUGUACUGGAAAGUGUAUCUAGAAAGACA